RNAcentral lists this unclassified non-coding RNA (2577 nucleotides) under Neodiprion pinetum (white pine sawfly). RNAcentral's name for it is "kinesin-like protein KIF12, transcript variant X2". The record is from RNAcentral. Lineage: Eukaryota; Metazoa; Arthropoda; Insecta; Hymenoptera; Diprionidae.
CGCGCCCUUGCCUUGCUCGUACCUUUUGCACACCACGAACCGCUCGCGAGUGCGGCUGCGAGCUUGUUGCGAGAAAUUGGUUUUCCAAAAUAUGUCCCAAAUCCGUUACCUCGAUUAAAGAUUCUCAGUCCACUCGUUUCCAAAUUCGCUUGUUCUUCGAAGUGAGGGUUCCUUAUCCCGCUACCGAUCAUCCCUGGCUUCGAGAAACUCGAAAUCGUCCUUAAAUGCAACUGUGCAGAAUCUUACCGAAACUGGAAUUGGUUGUUCCGGCGUCUUCAAGCGUUGACGUAUGGUGCUGCUAAAAACACCGCCAGCCUCAAGAGGCAAUAGUCCUUCCAGAAAAGGAUCUAGUCCUCAGGAAGGUCUCGGGGCGAGUCCGGAGGUUCCAAAAGGGAAGCAAAUUCAAAAGCGUGGAAGAGGCAGCCGAGGCAGCAGUCCAGGAGAUCAAAGCACCGGAUCGCGAGGCAGCAGCCCUGGAAAGAGUCCCGUCUUCAAGGGAAAGUCGAAGACCACGCUGCCACGCUCACAAGGAAGCGAAACCGGCAGCAUAGAGAGACUGGAGGCAGGUGACAAGAGGGUGAUUGCUACCCACCAAUUACUCCCCGAAGACAACAUAAACGUGGUGGUCAGGGUCCGACCACUGAGUAACAGGGAGAUUAAAUCUGGCGACGAAUCGGGCGUGCAAUUUCCUGGCAAUGGUCAAAUUCAUUGCGAUGGAAUACCCAACAGCGGUGACAAGAAGCCCAAAUUAUUCUCGUACAACGUCGUGUUCGAACCGGCGGCGUCACAGGAAGACAUUCUCCAGUAUUCCGGCGUUAAAAAACUCAUCGAAAUGGCCGUCGAAGGAUUCAGCUGCACGGCAUUUUGCUACGGGCAAACCGGUAGCGGAAAAACACACACUUUGACCGGGCCUCCGGGUUUGUUCAACGGGAAAAAUCCCUACUCCGAAGGUCACGGAUUGGUCUUUCGCUCGUUCGUCUACCUCUUCAAGAUACUACAAGAAAGACAGGAUUGCAAUUUCGUGCUCCGAGCGUCCUUUCUCGAAAUCUACAACGAAAAGGUUAUCGAUCUCCUGAAUCCUGGAACAAGUAGAAAACCUUUGGCGGUAAGAUGGAGCAAAAAAAUCCGAGGUUUUUUCGUCGAGAAUUUAUUCACCGUCGAGUGCGAAGAGCUUGACGAUUUAUUAGCCGUUUUGGAGGAAGGCAUGCGGAAUCGCUCCGUCGGCUCGCACAACAUGAACGAUCAUUCCAGCCGAAGCCACACCAUACUGACCGUCCACAUCACCUCGGAACAACAAAUGGAAAACGGAGUAUUUAUUUCCAAGCAAGGCAAGAUCAACUUUGUCGAUCUUGCGGGCAGCGAAAUGACGAAGAAAACACAGAGCGAGGGUAAAACUCUCGAGGAAGCUAACAACAUCAAUAAAAGCUUGAUGGUGCUAGGAUACUGCAUCGCUUCGUUAAGUGAUGGGAAAAAGAAAGCUGGACAUAUUCCUUAUCGGGAUAGCAAACUGACGAAACUACUUGCGGACAGUCUCGCCGGAAAUGGAGUUUCUCUUAUGAUCGCAUGCAUUUCUCCGGCGAGAUCUAACGCGAGCGAAACUAUAAAUACACUGCGCUACGCGGCGCGUGCUAAAAAAAUUCGCACCAAGCCGAUUAUCGUUAUGGAUCCCAGGGAGGCUUUGAUACUCAGCCUGAAACGAGAAGUCGGCGCUUUGCAAACAGAGAACGAUCACUUGAGGGUAGCGCUCAACUUAGGCGGGGAAUCCCCGAUCUUUGCGCGGGUCGAAUCCAAGGCUGGGGAAAGAAGACCGCUUCCAACACCGCCUCGAGUUGAUCUUGACAAAUUAGCGGAACUCGAGGGUCCGGAACUCGGCCAACUUGUUCGGGAUUACAUCACCGAGAACGAGGCUCUUCGACGGGAAAAUGCCGAGCUUUACGUCACCAGGGAACAAGUAAUGCGCGACCAGGAACAGGUCUGCAGGGAAAAUGAGAGGCUUUUGAAAAAACUUGAGGAUGUUAAUUCCGUCUGUUGUCGUUCGCCUAUUAUUCCGGCUCGGCCCAAUUACUCGGCGGAGUUGUCGAGUAGCGUUAACGGCGAUUACGUGCCUGGAGCUGCAAACGUCUGGACGAAUCCUAAUUCGGACCCUAAUCAAGCGACGUUUACGACUUCCAAGGACAAUACCGGUGGAGAAGUAACGUCUGGCGGCUCGGUUCGCGGAAUGCCUGAAAAAGUAUUGAAAGAAUUGGACAAGCGACGAAUUGGAGGAAGUUUUAAUAACAUCCUAGAGGCGUACAAGGACAAAAGUCAUCACAGGAGAAACAACUCUUGGGAUAAUGGAAAUGUGGCUAAUAGUCCGGAUCAAACCUCGUCUCCUGUCGACCCUAGCCAGUAAGAACUAAGACGUCUCAUCUAUAAGUAGUAACGCCAGUUUCCAAGUACGCAUAAAUAACAGAAAAGGUGCAGCCCUGCGAAGAACGUCGACAGUGCCGGAAGAAAGGAGCUUAGCGAUGUCAAAUUUCGAUGAUAACCAUCCGCCGUUGAAGAGCCAUUCUUUGAACGACGACACUUCUACUCCAG